CCUACGGGGUGCAGCAGUAGGGAAUAUUGCUCAAUGGGGGUAACCCUGAAGCAGCAACGUCGCGUGGAGGAUGACGGCCUUCGGAUUGUAAACCCCCUUUUUUAGAGAAGAUAAUGGCGCUAUCUAACGCAUAAUCACCGGCUACCGCCGUGACAGCAGCCGCGGUCACCCGGCGGGGGCACGCGUUAAUCGGAAUUACUGGGCGUAAAGAGCGAGUAGGCGGGUUAGCAGGUCAGAUGUGAAAGCCUAUGGCUUAACCAUAGAACUGCAUUUGAAACUGUUAUGCUAGAGUAUGGGAGAGGUAGGUGGAAUUCCUGGUGUAGCGGUGAAAUGCGUAGAGAUCAAGAGGAAUACUCGUGGCGAAGGCGACCUGCUAGAACGUAACUGACGCUGAUGCGCGAAAGCGUGGGGAGCGAACAGGAUUAGAUACCCUAGUAGUC
RNAcentral lists this ribosomal RNA (440 nucleotides) under uncultured bacterium. RNAcentral describes it as "partial 16S ribosomal RNA". It matches the Rfam family "Bacterial small subunit ribosomal RNA", at positions 338 to 795 of the family's 1533-position model. The record is from RNAcentral.